UUGUGCGGAUUGCCUAACUCUGCCACCGCUCAAGGUCCGUUCGCAUGACAUCGUCUGGCAGGGGCGGGGGAACCAAUUUUGGCCUUUGUAUUUGAAAGGCCUUGGGGUUAAGUCGCAAAAGCUUCCUUGGAAGCGGAGCGGCCGGGUGACUCCCAUCCGAAUCCGACAGCUCACCUCGCAGGCAUUGGGAGAGGCUAC
This 198-nucleotide small RNA is filed under the name Arthrobacter sp. 9AX. Its description in RNAcentral is "ydaO-yuaA". It matches the Rfam family "c-di-AMP riboswitch aptamer (ydaO/yuaA leader)". Rfam says of the family: This family represents a conserved RNA structure found upstream of the ydaO and yuaA genes in Bacillus subtilis and related genes in other bacteria. The ydaO/yuaA element is thought to act as a genetic "off" switch for the ydaO and yuaA genes in its native state. Lineage: Bacteria; Bacillati; Actinomycetota; Actinomycetes; Micrococcales; Micrococcaceae. The record is from RNAcentral.